GAGGGUAUAGCUCAAGUGGUAGAGUGCAUGCUUAGCAUGCAGGAGGUCCUGGGUUCAAUCCCCAGUUCACUUC
RNAcentral lists this transfer RNA (73 nucleotides) under Camelus bactrianus (Bactrian camel). It matches the Rfam family "tRNA". Rfam says of the family: Transfer RNA (tRNA) molecules are approximately 80 nucleotides in length. Their secondary structure includes four short double-helical elements and three loops (D, anti-codon, and T loops). Further hydrogen bonds mediate the characteristic L-shaped molecular structure. tRNAs have two regions of fundamental functional importance: the anti-codon, which is responsible for specific mRNA codon recognition, and the 3' end, to which the tRNAs corresponding amino acid is attached (by aminoacyl-tRNA synthetases). tRNAs cope with the degeneracy of the genetic code in two manners: having more than one tRNA (with a specific anti-codon) for a particular amino acid; and 'wobble' base-pairing, i.e. permitting non-standard base-pairing at the 3rd anti-codon position. Lineage: Eukaryota; Metazoa; Chordata; Mammalia; Artiodactyla; Camelidae. The record is from Rfam by way of RNAcentral. RNAcentral also lists the same sequence under 1 other name.